UCCUGUCAGUGAUGUUGUAUUCUAUAUCCUGUCAGUGAUGUUAUCCAGGUAGAGUAUUCUAUAUCCUGUCAGUGAUGUUAUCCAGGUAGAGUAUUCUAUAUCCUGUCAGUGAUGUUAUCCAGGUGGAGUAUUCUAUAUCCUGUCAGGGAUGUUAUCCAGGUAGAGUAUUCUAUAUCCUGUCAGUGAUGUUGUCCAGGUAGAGUAUUCUAUAUCCUGUCAGUGAUGUUAUCCAGGUAGAGUAUUCUAUAUCCUGUCAGUGAUGUUGUCCAGGUGUUGUAUUCUAUAUCCUGUCAGUGAUGUUAUCCAGGUAGAGUAUUCUAUUUCCUGUCAGUGAUGUUGUAUUC
Molecule: long non-coding RNA, 344 nt
Filed under: Salmo salar (Atlantic salmon)
Lineage: Eukaryota; Metazoa; Chordata; Actinopteri; Salmoniformes; Salmonidae
Description: lncRNA (ENSSSAG00000109543.1)
Source: RNAcentral